GCCCCGUUUCCUCUUACUGCUUUGAGAACUAUCCGAAGAGUAGGGCUCUUGAGGAGAACAGACAGGUUGUUCAAGUUCCUCGGUUAUACCACUCCUUUCGAGUUGUUCAUUCUCAUAAUCCUCAACCUUACGCAACUUCGCACUGUCUUUGUGUUCCUUUACUUCAUUAUUGAGCUUGAACUUUAUACCGCCAACACUUGCAUGAGAGGUUGUUGAAUCUUUUAGUUUCUCUUCUUUUUCCCUUCUCCUUUUUUCCUUCUUCUCCUUCUUCUCCCUCCUCCUCUCCUUCCUCUCCUUCUUGGCCGCUUUGUCGGCGGCUUUCUUGUCCUUCUCCUCUCUUUCUUUCUGGAGCUUCUCCAAAUC
RNAcentral lists this long non-coding RNA (363 nucleotides) under Medicago truncatula (barrel medic). RNAcentral describes it as "lncRNA gene1106". Lineage: Eukaryota; Viridiplantae; Streptophyta; Magnoliopsida; Fabales; Fabaceae. The record is from RNAcentral.